Molecule: ribosomal RNA, 176 nt
Filed under: uncultured bacterium
Lineage: Bacteria
Description: partial 16S ribosomal RNA
Rfam family: Bacterial small subunit ribosomal RNA
Source: RNAcentral
ACUCCUACUGGAGGCAGCAGUGGGGAAUUUUCCGCAAUGGGCGAAAGCCUGACGGAGCAACGCCGCGUGAGGGAUGAAGGCCUCUGGGCUGUAAACCUCUUUUAUCAAGGAAGAAGAUCUGACGGUACUUGAUGAAUAAGCCACGGCUAAUUCCGUGCCAGCAGCCGCGGUAAUAC